CCUACGGGGGGCAGCAGUGGGGAAUAUUGGACAAUGGGGGGAACCCUGAUCCAGCCAUGCCGCGUGUGUGAAGAAGGCCCUCGGGUUGUAAAGCACUUUCAGUGAGGAAGAACGCCUGGUGGUUAAUACCCAUCAGGAAAGACAUCACUCACAGAAGAAGCACCGGCUAACUCCGUGCCAGCAGCCGCGGUAAUACGGAGGGUGCGAGCGUUAAUCGGAAUUACUGGGCGUAAAGCGCGCGUAGGUGGCUUGAUAAGCCGGUUGUGAAAGCCCCGGGCUCAACCUGGGAACGGCAUCCGGAACUGUCAAGCUAGAGUGCAGGAGAGGAAGGUAGAAUUCCCGGUGUAGCGGUGAAAGGCGUAGAGAUCGGGAGGAAUACCAGUGGCGAAGGCGGCCUUCUGGACUGACACUGACACUGAGGUGCGAAAGCGUGGGUAGCAAACAGGAUUAGAUACCCUUGUAGUC
RNAcentral lists this ribosomal RNA (465 nucleotides) under Vreelandella stevensii. RNAcentral's name for it is "partial 16S ribosomal RNA". It matches the Rfam family "Bacterial small subunit ribosomal RNA", at positions 338 to 795 of the family's 1533-position model. Lineage: Bacteria; Pseudomonadati; Pseudomonadota; Gammaproteobacteria; Oceanospirillales; Halomonadaceae. The record is from RNAcentral.